RNAcentral lists this ribosomal RNA (460 nucleotides) under uncultured bacterium. Its description in RNAcentral is "partial 16S ribosomal RNA". It matches the Rfam family "Bacterial small subunit ribosomal RNA", at positions 338 to 795 of the family's 1533-position model. The record is from RNAcentral.
CCUACGGGGGACAGCAGUGAGGAAUAUUGGUCAAUGGGCGCGAGCCUGAACCAGCCAAGCAGCGUGAAGGAUGACUGCCCUACGGGUUGUAAACUCCUUUUAUAAAGGAAUAAAGUGAGGCACGUGUGCCUUUUUGUAUGUACUUUAUGAAUAAGGAUCGGCUAACUCCGUGCCAGCAGCCGCGGUAAUACGGAGGAUCCGAGCGUUAUCCGGAUUUAUUGGGUUUAAAGGGAGCGUAGAUGGGUUGUUAAGUCAGUUGGGAAAGUUUGCGGCUCAACCGUAAAAUUGCAAUUGAUACUGGCAGUCUUGAGUACAGGUGAGGUAGGCGGAAUUCGUGGUGUAGCGGUGAAAUGCUUAGAUAUCACGAAGAACACCGAUGGCGAAGGCAGCUUACUAAACUGCCACUGACAUUGAUGCUCGAAAGUGUGGGUAUCAAACAGGAUUAGAUACCCGGGUAGUC